GUCAUUUCCUUUUGGAUGAGUCGAAAUAAUAUUAUAUAAUUAAGGAUUUUAUGUUCGAAUUGGAGUACGAUAAUGAAUUACAAAUCGUUUACGGUAAAAAAAAGAGAGAGAUUAUUUUGUCCUUAAUGAUUGUCUUAUGUAUAUUAUGUUAAUUGUUUUAAUUAAAAAAUUAUUUUAAUUGUUUAACAAGUUAGAACAACACUUAGGACCGUGAAUUUAAAUAGUUAAAAUGUCGUUAAUGAUUAGUUUCCUAUCAACAAAUGAUUCUUGGAUUGAAGUUGUAAUUACUUUUUAU
RNAcentral lists this long non-coding RNA (295 nucleotides) under Gossypium barbadense (sea-island cotton). RNAcentral's name for it is "long non-coding RNA (GBAR_LNC019919)". Lineage: Eukaryota; Viridiplantae; Streptophyta; Magnoliopsida; Malvales; Malvaceae. The record is from RNAcentral.